AUACGUAGGGUGCGAGCGUUGUCCGGAAUUACUGGGCGUAAAGAGCUCGUAGGUGGUUUGUCGCGUCGUCUGUGAAAUUCCGGGGCUUAACUCCGGGCGUGCAGGCGAUACGGGCAUAACUUGAGUACUGUAGGGGAGACUGGAAUUCCUGGUGUAGCGGUGAAAUGCGCAGAUAUCAGGAGGAACACCGGUGGCGAAGGCGGGUCUCUGGGCAGUAACUGACGAUGAGGAGCGAAAGCAUGGGUAGCGAACAGGAUUAUAUACCCUGGUAGUCCAUGCCGUAAACGGUGGGCGCUAGGUGUAGGGGUCUUCCACGACUUCUGUGCCGUAGCUAACGCAUUAAGCGCCCCGCCUGGGGAGUACGGCCGCAAGGCUAAAACUUAAAGGAAUUGACGGGG
This 398-nucleotide ribosomal RNA is filed under the name uncultured bacterium. RNAcentral describes it as "partial 16S ribosomal RNA". It matches the Rfam family "Bacterial small subunit ribosomal RNA", at positions 523 to 918 of the family's 1533-position model. The record is from RNAcentral.